RNAcentral lists this ribosomal RNA (216 nucleotides) under Glomeromycotina sp. Its description in RNAcentral is "partial small subunit ribosomal RNA". The stretch from base 40 to 216 matches the Rfam family "Eukaryotic small subunit ribosomal RNA", at positions 686 to 864 of the family's 1831-position model. The record is from RNAcentral. Lineage: Eukaryota; Fungi; Glomeromycota.
GGGUCAGUAGGUUGGUCGUGCCACCGGUACGUACUGGCCUCACUGAUUCCUCCUUCCUGAAGAACCGUAAUGCCAUUUAUUUGGUGUUGCGGGGAAACAGGACUGUUACUUUGAAAAAAUUAGAGUGUUUAAAGCAAGCUAGCGCUUGAAUACAUUAGCAUGGAAUAAUGAAAUAGGACGAUCGAUCCUAUUUUGUUGGUUUCUAGGAUUGACGUA